ACAAAAGAUAAUAAAAAGGUUUUACUCAACUCAUAUGAUCAAACUGUGGGAUUCAAUACUACCCAUAUGCCGCGGUUUCUCAUUUUCAGGGAAGAUUUUAUUGCUGAUUUGAUGAAAAGAAGUGACUUGAAUUUACAAUUUCAGGUGUCAUAAGAGGAAGUGGACAACAAAAGAUUGGGGCAUAUGUUAAUUUGGGAGCUUACUAUCUUAUGGGCAUUCCAACUUCAGUUGUAUUAGCUUUUGUCCUGCACCUUGGAGGGAAGGGUCUUUGGACCGGAAUUAUUGUGGCUCUAUUUUCCCAGACACUAUUUCUUGCAAUCAUAAUCACACGCACAGAUUGGGAGAAAGAAGUGAAGAAAGCAUCUGAUAGAGUGUACAACACAAAGACCGCGGCCAAUGUGUCGUAGCAAAACUGGUGCUGAAGUCAUGAUCAUUUUAAAUUGUUAGGUUGGCAUCUUCAAGUUGGUUGUUUGUACCCUAUCACUAGUUUAUCACCUAUCUAUUUCCGUUAAGAAUAAGGGCUAGCAGUGUUCCUUAUUUGUAGGGAAUUA
Non-coding RNA from Prunus avium (sweet cherry), 551 nucleotides. NCBI's taxonomy places the organism in Eukaryota, Viridiplantae, Streptophyta, Magnoliopsida, Rosales, Rosaceae. The record is from RefSeq and is a predicted model, not a curated record.